CCUACGGGUGGCAUCAGUGGGGGAUAUUGGACAAUGGGGGGAACCCUGAUCCAGCGACGCCGCGUGAGUGAAGAAGUAUCUCGGUAUGUAAAGCUCUAUCAGCAGGGAAGAAGAAAUGACGGUACCUGAGUAAGAAGCCCCGGCUAACUACGUGCCAGCAGCUGCGGUAAUACGUAGGGGGCCAGCGUUAUCCGGAAUUACUGGGUGUAAAGGGAGCGUAGACGGUGAUGUAAGGCUGGAGUGAAAGGCGGGGGCUAAACCCCCGGACUGCGGUGGAAACUGUACGGCUGGAGUGAGGGAGAGGUAAGUGGAAUGCGAGGUGUAGCGGGGAAAGGCGUAGAUAGUGGGGGGAACGCC
This 357-nucleotide ribosomal RNA is filed under the name uncultured bacterium. Its description in RNAcentral is "partial 16S ribosomal RNA". It matches the Rfam family "Bacterial small subunit ribosomal RNA", at positions 338 to 710 of the family's 1533-position model. The record is from RNAcentral.